This 513-nucleotide ribosomal RNA is filed under the name Onciderini sp. IBE JGZ-3845. RNAcentral's name for it is "partial large subunit ribosomal RNA". It matches the Rfam family "Archaeal large subunit ribosomal RNA", at positions 1911 to 2672 of the family's 2987-position model. Lineage: Eukaryota; Metazoa; Arthropoda; Insecta; Coleoptera; Cerambycidae. The record is from RNAcentral.
GUCCUUUUGAUAAUAAUUUAAGGUCUAAUCUGCCCACUGAGUAAUUAAAGGGCCGCGGUAUAUUGACCGUGCUAAGGUAGCAUAAUAAUUAGUUUUUUAAUUGAAAGCUGGUAUGAAUGAUUGGAUGAGAAAAUGACUGUCUCUAAUUAAAUUAAAAUGAAUUUUAUAAUUAAGUAAGAAAGCUUAAAUGAGUUUAAAAGACGAGAAGACCCUAUAGAGUUUUAUAUUAAAUUUAAUUAUAAUUUUUAGUAUUAUAAAAUAUAUUUAUUUAGAAUAUUUAGUUGGGGUGAUUAAAAAAUUAGAAAAACUUUUUUUAUUAAAAAACAUAUAUAAAUGAUUAUUUGAUCCAUUAAUAAUGAUUAUAAGAUUAAAUUACCUUAGGGAUAACAGCGUAAUUUUUUUAGAGAGUUCAAAUUGAUAAAAAAGAUUGCGACCUCGAUGUUGGAUUAAAAUAAAUUUAUGGUGUAGAAGCUAUAAAGGUUAGGUCUGUUCGACCUUUAAAAUUUUACAUGA